RNAcentral lists this ribosomal RNA (473 nucleotides) under uncultured organism. RNAcentral describes it as "partial 16S ribosomal RNA". It matches the Rfam family "Bacterial small subunit ribosomal RNA", at positions 332 to 797 of the family's 1533-position model. The record is from RNAcentral.
UACACUCCUGCGGGAGGCAGCAGUAGGGAAUCUUCCACAAUGGGUGCAAACCUGAUGGAGCAAUGCCGCGUGAGUGAAGAAGGUCUUCGGAUCGUAAAGCUCUGUUGUUAGAGAAGAACACGUGCUAGGUAACUACUAGCGCCUUGACGGUAUCUAACCAGAAAGUCACGGCUAACUACGUGCCAGCAGCCGCGGUAACACGUAGGUGACAAGCGUUGUCCGGAUUUAUUGGGCGUAAAGGGAGCGCAGGCGGUCUGUUUAGUCUAAUGUGAAAGCCCACGGCUUAACCGUGGAACGGCAUUGGAAACUGACAGACUUGAAUGUAGAAGAGGAAAAUGGAAUUCCAAGUGUAGCGGUGGAAUGCGUAGAUAUUUGGAGGAACACCAGUGGCGAAGGCGAUUUUCUGGUCUAACAUUGACGCUGAGGCUCGAAAGCGUGGGGAGCGAACAGGAUUAGAUACCCGAGUAGUCCCA